RNAcentral lists this ribosomal RNA (253 nucleotides) under uncultured Pseudomonadota bacterium. RNAcentral describes it as "uncultured proteobacterium partial 16S ribosomal RNA". It matches the Rfam family "Bacterial small subunit ribosomal RNA", at positions 524 to 776 of the family's 1533-position model. Lineage: Bacteria; Pseudomonadati; Pseudomonadota. The record is from RNAcentral.
UACGGAGGGUGCAAGCGUUAAUCGGAAUUACUGGGCGUAAAGCGCACGCAGGCGGUUUGAUAAGUCAGAUGUGAAAGCCCCGGGCUCAACCUGGGAAUGGCAUUUGAUACUGUCAGACUAGAGUAUGGUAGAGAGAAGUGGAAUUCCGCAUGUAGCGGUGAAAUGCGUAGAGAUGCGGAGGAACAUCAGUGGCGAAGGCGACUUCUUGGACCAAUACUGACGCUCAGGUGCGAAGGCGUGGGGAGCAAACAGG